This 207-nucleotide ribosomal RNA is filed under the name uncultured bacterium. RNAcentral describes it as "partial 16S ribosomal RNA". It matches the Rfam family "Bacterial small subunit ribosomal RNA", at positions 568 to 774 of the family's 1533-position model. The record is from RNAcentral.
UCCGUAGGUGGUUUGUCAAGUCUGUCGUCAAAGAAUGGAGCUUAACUCCAUAAAGGCGGUGGAAACUGAGAGACUAGAGUUCGGUAGGGGUAGCGGGAAUUCCCAGUGUAGCGGUGAAAUGCGUAGAUAUUGGGAAGAACAUCGGUGGCGGAAGCGCGCUACUGGGCCGAAACUGACACUGAGGGACGAAAGCUAGGGUAGCGAAAG